This 515-nucleotide ribosomal RNA is filed under the name uncultured Actinomycetes bacterium. RNAcentral's name for it is "bacterial SSU rRNA". It matches the Rfam family "Bacterial small subunit ribosomal RNA", at positions 370 to 896 of the family's 1533-position model. Lineage: Bacteria; Bacillati; Actinomycetota; Actinomycetes. The record is from RNAcentral.
AAUGGGCGAAAGCCUGAUGCAGCGACGCCGCGUGAGGGAUGACGGCCUUCGGGUUGUAAACCUCUUUCGCCCGGGACGAAGCGAGAGUGACGGUACCGGGAGAAGAAGCACCGGCUAACUACGUGCCAGCAGCCGCGGUAAUACGUAGGGUGCGAGCGUUGUCCGGAAUUAUUGGGCGUAAAGAGCUCGUAGGCGGUUUGUCGCGUCGACUGUGAAAACCUGGGGCUUAACUCUGGGCCUGCAGUCGAUACGGGCAGACUUGAGUUCGGUAGGGGAGACUGGAAUUCCUGGUGUAGCGGUGAAAUGCGCAGAUAUCAGGAGGAACACCGGUGGCGAAGGCGGGUCUCUGGGCCGAUACUGACGCUGAGGAGCGAAAGCGUGGGGAGCGAACAGGAUUAGAUACCCUGGUAGUCCACGCUGUGAACGUUGGGCGCUAGGUGUGGGGGACAUUCACGUUCUCCGUGCCGUAGCUAACGCAUUAAGCGCCCCGCCUGGGGAGUACGGCCGCAAGGCUA